GGGCACUUAGCUCAGUGGAAGAGCGCCUGGUUCGCAUCCAGGAGGCCGCGAGUUCAAAUCUCGCAGUGUCCACCA
RNAcentral lists this transfer RNA (75 nucleotides) under Candidatus Jordarchaeaceae archaeon. RNAcentral describes it as "tRNA-Ala". It matches the Rfam family "tRNA". From Rfam's summary of the family: Transfer RNA (tRNA) molecules are approximately 80 nucleotides in length. Their secondary structure includes four short double-helical elements and three loops (D, anti-codon, and T loops). RNAcentral also lists the same sequence under 1 other name. The record is from RNAcentral. Lineage: Archaea; Promethearchaeati; Candidatus Jordarchaeia; Candidatus Jordarchaeales; Candidatus Jordarchaeaceae.